Acanthosepion pharaonis is the source of this 98-nucleotide non-coding RNA. Lineage: Eukaryota; Metazoa; Mollusca; Cephalopoda; Sepiida; Sepiidae. The record is from the annotation of a GenBank genome assembly.
GUUGAAACACAAGUUCUCGUACGAUCGGCGAAGUUAAGCAACGUCGAUCCUGGUCGGUAUUUACAUGGGUGAACGCUUGGGAAUACUGGGUGUUGUAA